CCCCUGAUAGCUCAGUUGGAAGAGCGUGAGACUGUAACUGGUAGCCGCGAUCUCAAGGUCACCUGUUCGAGCCAGGUUCAGGGGA
RNAcentral lists this transfer RNA (85 nucleotides) under Phlebiopsis gigantea 11061_1 CR5-6. It matches the Rfam family "tRNA". From Rfam's summary of the family: Transfer RNA (tRNA) molecules are approximately 80 nucleotides in length. The record is from Rfam by way of RNAcentral. Lineage: Eukaryota; Fungi; Basidiomycota; Agaricomycetes; Polyporales; Phanerochaetaceae.